Acipenser ruthenus (sterlet) is the source of this 386-nucleotide long non-coding RNA. RefSeq lists it as uncharacterized. The record is from RefSeq and is a predicted model, not a curated record. Lineage: Eukaryota; Metazoa; Chordata; Actinopteri; Acipenseriformes; Acipenseridae. The transcript is spliced from 3 exons.
CAGAAAUUUACCAAAAAUUACUGCCACAGCAGUCCAGCAGCAUGAUAAAAGGAACCACUGCUUACAGCCUCGCUGAUGCAUUGAAUACGUGUCUUUGGAAAAGAUUUCUGGGAAUCGCCACCGUUUUGGACCUACGGUUCAAAACCCUUGUAAUUGGGAAUGACAAAAAUGCUGAUGAGGCCAUUAAAGCUAUGACAGCAGAAGCAUGACAGCUGGCUAAAGUUAGUGGCACUCAAGCUGUUGUGACCGGAGCAUGCAGUACCCUACCUGAUGAUGUAUAGAAAGACUUUGAUGCCAAGGUUACACAGCUGAAUCCAAACAUGGACAUCACAGCAGAGGUGAAAAUGUACCUCACACUCCCCAACAAAGACAGGAAGUCCUCUAGA